Rattus norvegicus (Norway rat) is the source of this 248-nucleotide non-coding RNA. The record is from RefSeq and is a predicted model, not a curated record. Lineage: Eukaryota; Metazoa; Chordata; Mammalia; Rodentia; Muridae.
GUUUCCAUUUCCGCUUCCGUUUCCGUUUCUGCUUCCGUUUCCGUUUCUGCUUCCGCUUCCGCUUCCAUCUCUUCCAGUGUGUGAGGAGACAUUGUUCUGAGGGAAGGUGCUGUUGUCUCAGCUGGCUACAAGCUUGAAAUGACUCAACGUGAUUCCCAGUCUAACUUCCGCGAUGAUUUCACCAAAUUCUUACUCUUCACUAAGCACAUAAAAUAACUUCAUGUAAGUGAUAUUUAACAUCUUUGAAA